RNAcentral lists this ribosomal RNA (895 nucleotides) under uncultured bacterium. RNAcentral's name for it is "bacterial SSU rRNA". It matches the Rfam family "Bacterial small subunit ribosomal RNA", at positions 532 to 1428 of the family's 1533-position model. The record is from RNAcentral.
UCCCGAGCGUUNUCCGGAUUUAUUGGGCGUAAAGCGAGCGCAGGCGGUUAGAUAAGUNUGAAGUUAAAGGCUGUGGCUUAACCAUAGUACGCUUUGGAAACUGUUUAACUUGAGUGCAGAAGGGGAGAGUGGAAUUCCAUGUGUAGCGGUGAAAUGCGUAGAUAUAUGGAGGAACACCGGUGGCGAAAGCGGCUCUCUGGUCUGUAACUGACGCUGAGGCUCGAAAGCGUGGGGAGCGAACAGGAUUAGAUACCCUGGUAGUNCACGCCGUAAACGAUGAGUGCUAGGUGUUAGGCCCUUUCCGGGGCUUAGUGCCGCAGCUAACGCAUUAAGCACUCCGCCUGGGGAGUACGACCGCAAGGUUGAAACUCAAAGGAAUUGACGGGGGCCCGCACAAGCGGUGGAGCAUGUGGUUUAAUUCGAAGCAACGCGAAGAACCUUACCAGGUCUUGACAUCCCGAUGCCCGCUCUAGAGAUAGAGUUUUACUUCGGUACAUCGGUGACAGGUGGUGCAUGGUUGUCGUCAGCUCGUGUCGUGAGAUGUUGGGUUAAGUCCCGCAACGAGCGCAACCCUUAUUGUUAGUUGCCAUCAUUCAGUUGGGCACUCUAGCGAGACUGCCGGUAAUAAACCGGAGGAAGGUGGGGAUGACGUCAAAUCAUCAUGCCCCUUAUGACCUGGGCUACACACGUGCUACAAUGGCUGGUACAACGAGUCGCAAGUCGGUGACGGCAAGCUAAUCUCUUAAAGCCAGUCUCAGUUCGGAUUGUAGGCCGCAACUCGCCUACAUGAAGUCGGAAUCGCUAGUAAUCGCGGAUCAGCACGCCGCGGUGAAUACGUUCCCGGGCCUUGUACACACCGCCCGUCACACCACGAGAGUUUGUAACACCCGAAGUC